Molecule: ribosomal RNA, 459 nt
Filed under: uncultured bacterium
Lineage: Bacteria
Description: partial 16S ribosomal RNA
Rfam family: Bacterial small subunit ribosomal RNA
Source: RNAcentral
CCUACGGGUGGCAGCAGUGAGGAAUAUUGGUCAAUGGACGCAAGUCUGAACCAGCCAUGCCGCGUGCAGGAAGACGGCUCUAUGAGUUGUAAACUGCUUUGUCGGGGAGCAAAGAGAGUCACGUGUGACUCAUUGAGAGUACCCGAAGAAAAAGCAUCGGCUAACUCCGUGCCAGCAGCCGCGGUAAUACGGAGGAUGCGAGCGUUAUCCGGAAUGAUUGGGCGGAAAGGGUGCGCAGGCGGUCCUGCAAGUCUGGAGUGAAACGCAUGAGCUCAACUCAUGCAUGGCUUUGGAAACUGGAGGACUGGAGAGCAGGAGAGGGCGGUGGAACUCCAUGUGUAGCGGUAAAAUGCGUAGAUAUAUGGAAGAACACCAGUGGCGAAGGCGGCCGCCUGGCCUGUUGCUGACGCUGAGGCACGAAAGCGUGGGGAGCAAAUAGGAUUAGAUACCCGGGUAGUC